RNAcentral lists this ribosomal RNA (214 nucleotides) under uncultured bacterium. RNAcentral's name for it is "partial 16S ribosomal RNA". It matches the Rfam family "Bacterial small subunit ribosomal RNA", at positions 524 to 732 of the family's 1533-position model. The record is from RNAcentral.
UACGGGGGGGGGCAAGCGUUGUUCGGAAUUACUGGGCGUAAAGGGCUCGUAGGCGGCCAACUAAGUCAGACGUGAAAAUCCCUCGGCUUAACCGGGGGAACUGCAUCUGAUACUGGAUGGCUUGAGUUCGGGAGAGGGAUGCGGAAUUCCAGGUGGAGCGGUGAAAUGCGCAGAAUAUCAGGAGGAACACCGGGUGGCGAAGGCGGGUCUCUGG